Molecule: ribosomal RNA, 253 nt
Filed under: uncultured bacterium
Lineage: Bacteria
Description: partial 16S ribosomal RNA
Rfam family: Bacterial small subunit ribosomal RNA
Source: RNAcentral
UACGUAGGUGGCAAGCGUUGUCCGGAUUUACUGGGCGUAAAGGGCGCGCAGGCGGCUCAUCAAGUCUGGGGUGAAAUCUCCCGGCUCAACCGGGAGGGGUCUCUGGAUACUGAUGGGCUUGAGGAAAGCAGAGGAAAGCGGAAUUCCCGGUGUAGCGGUGAUAUGCGUAGAUAUCGGGAGGAACACCAGUGGCGAAGGCGGCUUUCUGGGCUUUUCCUGACGCUGAGGCGCGAAAGCGUGGGGAGCGAACCGG